UACGUAGGGGGCAAGCGUUAUCCGGAAUUAUUGGGCGUAAAGAGUGCGUAGGUGGUUUUGUAAGCGAGAGGUGAAAGGCUACAGCUCAACUGUAGUAAGCCUUUCGAACUGUAAAACUUGAGUGCAGGAGAGGAAAGUGGAAUUCCUAGUGUAGCGGUGAAAUGCGUAGAUAUUAGGAGGAACACCAGUGGCGAAGGCGACUUUCUGGACUGUUACUGACACUGAGGCACGAAAGCGUGGGGAGCGAACAGG
RNAcentral lists this ribosomal RNA (252 nucleotides) under uncultured bacterium. Its description in RNAcentral is "partial 16S ribosomal RNA". It matches the Rfam family "Bacterial small subunit ribosomal RNA", at positions 524 to 776 of the family's 1533-position model. The record is from RNAcentral.